UUAUUGAAGGAAGUGACUGCAGAUGUGAUGGAAACAGCCAGAGAACUAGAAUGAGAAGUGGCGCCUGAAGAUGUGACUGAAUUGCUGCAGCCUCAUGUUAAAACUUGAACAGACGAGGAGAGGCUUCUUAUGAGUGAGCAAAGAAAGUGGUUUCUUAAGAUGGAAUUUCCUCUGGUGAAGAUGCUGUGAACAUUGU
Sapajus apella (tufted capuchin) is the source of this 196-nucleotide long non-coding RNA. RefSeq lists it as uncharacterized. Lineage: Eukaryota; Metazoa; Chordata; Mammalia; Primates; Cebidae. The transcript has 3 exons. The record is from RefSeq and is a predicted model, not a curated record.